This is a non-coding RNA of Triticum aestivum (bread wheat), 124 nucleotides long. NCBI's taxonomy places the organism in Eukaryota, Viridiplantae, Streptophyta, Magnoliopsida, Poales, Poaceae. The record is from Rfam.
CAUCUACUCCCUCCGUUCGAAAUUAAUUAUCACAAAAAUAGAUAAAAAUGAGUGUAUCUACAACUAAAAUUAAUCUAGAUAUAUUCAUUUUUGGACAAGUAAUUUUGAACGGAGGGAGUACUUG